UCGGGCUAAGGAACUACAUUAGAUCAUAUUUGUUGAGGACACAUGUCAUAGAUUUUAUUCCUUCGAGUGAUCAAAGCAUGUUGGUCUCUUGAUCCAGAUGAAACAUCACGUCAAGGAUCGGCACAGCAAGCAAAAAGCCAUCAGGCGACGCCUGUUAAUGGGGCAUGUCAGACUUGAAGCAUCACACGCAUCCUUUGAG
Molecule: long non-coding RNA, 199 nt
Filed under: Elaeis guineensis (African oil palm)
Lineage: Eukaryota; Viridiplantae; Streptophyta; Magnoliopsida; Arecales; Arecaceae
Description: long non-coding RNA (EGUI_LNC055919)
Source: RNAcentral